Molecule: ribosomal RNA, 343 nt
Filed under: Chersodromia sp. 1 SNK-2009
Lineage: Eukaryota; Metazoa; Arthropoda; Insecta; Diptera; Hybotidae
Description: partial 12S ribosomal RNA
Source: RNAcentral
AAACUAGGAUUAGAUACCCUAUUAUUUAAAGUGUAAUAAAAAAUACUAGAGUAGUAAUAGUUAUGUUCUUGAAACUAAAAAAAUUUGGCGGUAUUUUAGUCUUUUCAGAGGAACCUGUCAUAUAAUCGAUAAUCCACGAUGGACCUAACUUAAUUUUGUUUUUCAGUUUGUAUAUCGCUGUUAUAGAAUAUUUUAUAAGAAUAAUAAUUUUCAAUAAAUUUUAUAAAAUUUUAUAUCAAGUCAAGGUGCAGUUUAUGAUUAAGUAUUAGAUGGGUUACAAUAAAAUAAUUUAUACGGAUUAAUAAAUGAAAUAUUAUUAAGAAGGUGGAUUUGAUAGUAAAUU